CAGGAAGGGAGCUGGGAGAGGACACGCAGGGCGCGGCUCGGGCCCCCCCAAGGCGCCAGCAGCCCAGACAGUCCGGGUUGCAGGGACGGGCGAGGGGACCCUCUCCCGCCGUGUGUGCACAGUCCCCCGGCCAAGGCCUUUACCUGGGCCCAAGACGCGGGUCCGCCGGCACGCCAGGGUUCCGGACGCGGGGGCCCCCUACGCUCCAUUCCCAGCCUCCAGGCAUUUCCCCUGGCUGUGCCCCACACCAGGAAUGCUCUCCCUCACCUCAGCCCCCAGGGCUCUCCAUCCACCUUCAAGACUCCGCUGUGAUGGCACGUUGUGCCAGAAGCCUUUGCCGUUCCCGUAGUCUUCCCCACCAGAAUGCGAAUUCCAGUAGGGCUUGGCUUGGUUCUGACUCUCCUCGUGUCCCCAGCACUUAGCCCAUUGCCUAGCAGAGAAGCGCACCCACCGCCCAAGUUUCUUGACUGGACAUAGAGGCUCUGUGACCUCGGACACCAUGGAGGUAGCCAACAAGCCAGGCCUGGAGCCCAAGGGGCCACGAGUUCAAAUGAAGCCUCUGACCCAGGACUCCCUAAGAACAAGCCAAGGUCGGGCUCUAGAUGGCCCGAGCACCUGGGGAGAGGUGCUCCACACGCUGCUCAGGGGACAGGUUCUUCACAGUGGAGAUGUACUCAGCUGCCAGGAUGUCGAUCUCGG
Long non-coding RNA from Phascolarctos cinereus (koala), 699 nucleotides. RefSeq lists it as uncharacterized. NCBI's taxonomy places the organism in Eukaryota, Metazoa, Chordata, Mammalia, Diprotodontia, Phascolarctidae. The record is from RefSeq and is a predicted model, not a curated record.